UACGUAGGGUGCAAGCGUUAAUCGGAAUUACUGGGCGUAAAGCGUGCGCAGGCGGCUUUGCAAGACAGAUGUGGAAUCCCCGGGCUCAACCUGGGAACUGCAUUUGUGACUGCAAGGCUGGAGUACGGCAGAGGGGGAUGGAAUUCCGCGUGUAGCAGUGAAAUGCGUAGAUAUGCGGAGGAGCACCGAUGGCGAAGGCAAUCCCCUGGGCCUGUACUGACGCUCAUGCACGAAAGCGUGGGGAGCAAACAGG
Molecule: ribosomal RNA, 253 nt
Filed under: uncultured bacterium
Lineage: Bacteria
Description: partial 16S ribosomal RNA
Rfam family: Bacterial small subunit ribosomal RNA
Source: RNAcentral